GCUUGUCUCAAAGAUUAAGCCAUGCAUGUCUAAGUAUAAAUACCUUAUACUGUGAAACUGCGUAUGGCUCAUUAAAUCAGUUAUAGUUUAUUUGAUGAUUACUCACUACAUGGAUAACCGUAGUAAUUCUAGAGCUAAUACAUGCGUCAAACGUCGACUUCUGGAAGACGUGUAUUUAUUAGAUAAAAAACCAAUUCCGCAAGGAUUUUUUGGUGAUUCAUAAUAACUGUUCGGAGCCCAUGGUCUUGCACUGGGGCCAGGUCAUUCAAAUUUCUGCCCUAUCAGCUUUCGAUGGUAGUGUAGUGGACUACCAUGGCUUUAACGGGUGACGGAGAAUUAGGGUUCGAUUCCGGAGAGGGAGCCUGAGAAACGGCUACCACAUCCAAGGAAGGCAGCAGG
This 399-nucleotide ribosomal RNA is filed under the name uncultured eukaryote. RNAcentral's name for it is "partial small subunit ribosomal RNA". It matches the Rfam family "Eukaryotic small subunit ribosomal RNA", at positions 30 to 432 of the family's 1831-position model. The record is from RNAcentral.